RNAcentral lists this ribosomal RNA (543 nucleotides) under uncultured Penicillium. RNAcentral's name for it is "SSU rRNA". It matches the Rfam family "Eukaryotic small subunit ribosomal RNA", at positions 549 to 1098 of the family's 1831-position model. The record is from RNAcentral. Lineage: Eukaryota; Fungi; Ascomycota; Eurotiomycetes; Eurotiales; Aspergillaceae.
UGGAGGGCAAGUCUGGUGCCAGCAGCCGCGGUAAUUCCAGCUCCAAUAGCGUAUAUUAAAGUUGUUGCAGUUAAAAAGCUCGUAGUUGAACCUUGGCUCUGGCUGGCCGGUCCGCCUCACCGCGAGUACUGGUCCGGCUGGAGCUUUCCUUCUGGGGAACCUCAUGGCCUUCACUGGCUGUGGGGGGAACCAGGACUUUUACUGUGAAAAAAUUAGAGUGUUCAAAGCAGGCCUUUGCUCGAAUACAUUAGCAUGGAAUAAUAGAAUAGGACGCGCGGUUCUAUUUUGUUGGUUUCUAGGACCGCCGUAAUGAUUAAUAGGGAUAGUCGGGGGCGUCAGUAUUCAGCUGUCAGAGGUGAAAUUCUUGGAUUUGCUGAAGACUAACUACUGCGAAAGCAUUCGCCAAGGAUGUUUUCAUUAAUCAGGGAACGAAAGUUAGGGGAUCGAAGACGAUCAGAUACCGUCGUAGUCUUAACCAUAAACUAUGCCGACUAGGGAUCGGACGGGAUUCUAUUAUGACCCGUUCGGCGCCUUACGGGAAAC